This 1216-nucleotide long non-coding RNA is filed under the name Calidris pugnax (ruff). Its description in RNAcentral is "lncRNA (ENSCPUG00000001411.1)". Lineage: Eukaryota; Metazoa; Chordata; Aves; Charadriiformes; Scolopacidae. The record is from RNAcentral.
GCUGGGGGGGCCCCUCUGUCCUGGGGGGGUCCCCUCUGUCCCUGGGGGGUCCCCCAUGUCCCUAAGGGUGUCCCCAGUCUCCCUUGGGGUGUCCCUGGGGGUGUCCCCUCUGUCCUCCCGCUUUGGGGUUCAUUAAUCCCUGUGUUCCCCCUCACUCUGACACCUUUGGGGUGUCCCCUCUACCCUUGGGGUGUCCCCCCCCUGUCCUGGGGGGGUUCCCUGUGUCCCUGGGGGGUCCCCUCUGUCCCAGGGGUGUCCCCCGUGUCCCUAAGGGUGUCCCCUCUCUUCUGGGGGUGUCCCCCCUGUCCCAGGGGUGUCUCCUGUGCCCCCUGGGGGUGUCCCCUCUCUUCUGGGGAUGUCCCUAAGGGUGUCCCCAGUCUCCCUUGGGGUGUCCCUGGGGGUGUCCCCUCUGUCCUCCCGCUUUGGGGUUCAUUAAUCCCUGUGUUCCCCCUCACUCUGACACCUUUGGGGUGUCCCCUCUACCCUUGGGGUGUCCCCCCCCUGUCCUGGGGGGGUUCCCUGUGUCCCUGGGGGGUCCCCUCUGUCCCAGGGGUGUCCCCCGUGUCCCUAAGGGUGUCCCCUCUCUUCUGGGGGUGUCCCCCCUGUCCCAGGGGUGUCUCCUGUGCCCCCUGGGGGUGUCCCCUCUCUUCUGGGGGUGUCCCCUGUGUCCCUUGGGGUGCCCCUGGGGGGGUCCCCUCUGUCCUUGGGGUGUCCCCAAGUCCCUGGAGGUGUCACCUCUGUUCUUGGGGUGUCCCCCCCUGUCCCGGGGGUGUCCCUGGGGGGGUCCCCUCUGUCCUUGGGGUGUCCCCCCUGUCCCCCGUGUCCCUAAGGGUGUCCCCUCUCUUCUGGGGGUGUCUCCUGUGUCCCCUGGGGGUGUCCCCUCUCUUCUGGGGGUGUCCCCUAUGCCCCUGGGGGUGUCCUCUCUUUUCUGGGGGUGUCCUCUCUGUCCCAGGGGUGUCCCCUCUACCUUUGGGGUGUCCCCCCUGUCCCCCGUGUCCCUAAGGGUGUCCCCUCUCUUCUGGGGGUGUCCCCUAUGCCCCUGGGGGUGUCCCCUAUGCCCCUGGGGGUGUCCCCUAUGCCCCUGGGGGUGUCCCCUAUGCCCCUGGGGGUGUCCUCUCUGUCCCAGGGGUGUCCCCUCUACCUUUGGGGUGUCCCCCCACCUUCUCUAGGGUUUUGACCCCCCAAAAACCCCACAAGGGGGGGUCCUCUCUCUUUA